RNAcentral lists this long non-coding RNA (480 nucleotides) under Homo sapiens (human). RNAcentral's name for it is "HSALNT0087613". Lineage: Eukaryota; Metazoa; Chordata; Mammalia; Primates; Hominidae. The record is from RNAcentral.
ACGCAUGCAUAUAUAAAUACACACACACAUAUAUAUAUAUACACACACACAGUUAGGUUUUAUGAAUGUGACUCAUGAGUGAAACAUUUAUAUAAGUCCUUGGGAUAUAUAUUGUUAGGUUUUGUGAAUGUGACUGAUGGUUUGUACUCACAAAGCACCUUUAUUUAUGUCUCCCAUUAAUUUUAUACAGUGGGGUCUCAUUACUUACCUAGUCACUCUUAAGUAACAAGAAAUAUUAACUUACUUUAAGUUGCAUCAUAGACACGCCUAGAUAAAAGCAAAAGUCAGAUUUGAUUUAAAAUGACACUUCCUCCUUCUAUGUAUCCAGGCCUGGCUAUCUUGCAGGCUGGCUAUCUCUUGUUGUGGGAGGGAACCAUUCCUUCUAUCACCCCCUUCUAUUCUCACUUCAGUUAGAUUGAUUUGAAGGCCCGUACAGACAGAGCAUGGAAGGAGGACAGUUCAUACUUGAUUGAUAAUGCC